GUGAAAACAAGCUGCAAGAUUCAGGAGUGAAGCUGCUGUGUUCUGGACUGGAGAGUCCAAACUGUCGACUGGAGACUCUGAGGUCCUUAAAUCCUUCUUCACUUUUCAGACUUUCUUUCUUAUUGGGUCAUUAUUUAUUUGACUUGUCUCAGUUCUGCUCUGCUCACUGUCCCUCAGUCAUCUGUCCCUCACCCAGCCUGUCAGUCACGUCCACCUCAUCAACUCCAUUCACCUGCACUCACCUGCUCCUGAUCACUGAGAAAGUGUCAGUAAAUAACAUGUGGACUGAGGCCGAGCACUCGUCCUCCUCAGGUUUUCAAAAUAAGACACAUUCUUAUUGAAACACGUUGGACAGUUGAUAAGUAUAGAAACAAACAGGAAGUGACAUCAGGAGCCGUCCCUACUUUAAACAGUGUUUAAUUACACAAACCUGCUCAGUGACCAACACACAGAGAAGAAGCUGAUGAAUGAAACAAUGGUCCAACAUGUCUGAUCUGAUAUUUAUCUUCAGGUCACAGACUGGACUGAGGUCAGCAGCAUGUUGAGAGUCUGUGUUGACAUGAUGACGAUCCACAACAACAGGAGGACACAUUCUAAUAUUCAUAUUUCUUUAUCCAGGUUGACGAGCUGCAGUCUGACAGAGAUCAGCUGUUCUUCUCUGGCUUCAGCUCUGAGGUCAAACCCCUCUCAUCUGAGAGAACUGGAUCUGAGUGACAACGGCCUGCAGGACUCAGCAGUGAAGGAGCUUCUUGAUCUACAGCAGAGUCCAACCUGUCGACUGGAGACUCUGAGGUGGGAUACGAGAUCACCUCAGAGAGAACCCCAAGUCCAAAACCACGAGACCCCCCGGUCUUGUGUGUUGUCUUAGUGGAGGUGAGUGUGAAGAGGACAGUGUGUGAGGACGGAGGCUGAGCUGUGUCCUGAGGAUCCAGAGGCUGAAGCAGCAGCAGCUUGUGUGUAGUCUCCAAUCUACACAACCCCUCAUCUGCAUGUGUUUGUGAGAUGAAGCCGGAGCACCUGGAGAAAACACGGGGAGAACAUGCAGACUCCACACAGGAAGACCCAUCUGAACCGGAUUCAAACCAGCAACCUUCCUGCCCCGAUUGUGUUUAUUCACAUGAAGAAUGUGUUUAUUGAAAUGACACAACACAAGCAGAAUAUAUAAACCCUCUAUAAAGAGUCACAUAAGGUGUGUUUAAGUUUGUCUUUAUUAUUCUCCACCUUUGUCCCUCAGUCUGUCUCCAUGUGUGUAGAACCACAUUCUGUGUAGAUGUUUGUUUAUGAUCUUAAAGUUCCAAAGAAGGAAGGCUGCCGUGUCUCCAGCUCUCCCACAGCUCUGCUCUUUUUUCUAUCUUGUUGUUAUUGAUUCUUCUUUAUGUUGCAUUGUGCACUCCGACAAAGCGAGCCCUAUCAUCAUAUGUGAUGGAGAACAACUUCUGCUCAUCGGGUUGACGGUGAGAAACACUUAGUCACCAGUGAAGACCUGGACCCAUCACACAGACUCCAUCAGGGAGACGGCCAGGCAGCGGCUCUUCUCCACAUGGACUCCAGGAUCCAGGUGCAGCACAGAGAGCAUCCUGACAGAAACAUCUUUGACAAACAUAUUUAACGUCUUCUUUGAUUAUUUGUUUAUGUCCAUGUCCCAUCUGCUCACAUGGAGGAGGAGGUGUAUGACCUAUACUGCAGCCACACACCAGGGGGCAGUGUCAGUCUGGUUCAGCUCAUUUGUUCAUGGUGUGUUGAUGGACUGAUCUGAUUGGAUGUUCCUUAGUGGUUAUUCUUUUUUAUGAAUCUACUUCCUGUGUUGAGCGCGAGCUGCUGUUUAAAGACGUGUUUGACCUUUGACCUGAGCUGACCCGACAGUUCACUGUGACGAAGAGGAUGAAGAUGUGUAGUAUGUGUUGAACGUUGUCGUCCACUCAGAGGAUCAAUAAAGAUUAUAACUGACGAUCAA
Limanda limanda (common dab) is the source of this 1954-nucleotide long non-coding RNA. RefSeq lists it as uncharacterized. NCBI's taxonomy places the organism in Eukaryota, Metazoa, Chordata, Actinopteri, Pleuronectiformes, Pleuronectidae. The record is from RefSeq and is a predicted model, not a curated record. The transcript is spliced from 2 exons.